ACAUUGAAAUAAGCAAACAGUUUGAUGGCCGUGAGCGACCUGAUCUAGUCAUAUAGUUAGAUGGGUGCCAAUUUUCCGCAAUGGGCGAAAGCCUGACGGAGCAAUGCCGCAUGGAGGUGGAAGGCCUACGGGUCGUCAACUUCUUUUCUCGGAGAAGAAACAAUGACGGUAUCUGAGGAAUAAACAUCGGCUAACUCUGUGCCAGCAGCCGCGGUAAGACAGAGGAUGCAAGCGUUAUCUGGAAUGAUUGGGCGUAAAGCAUCUGUAGGUGGCUUUUCAAGUGCGCCGUCAAAUCCCAGGGCUCAACCCGGGACAGGCGGUGGAAACUACCAAGCUGGAGUACGGUAGGGGUAGAGGGAAUUUCUGGUAGAGCGGUGAAAUGCACUGAGAUCGGAAAGAACACCAACGGCGAAAGCACUCUGCUGGGCCUACACUGACACUGAGAGAUGAAAGCUAGGGGAGCAAAUGGGAUUAGAGACCCCAGUAGUCCUAGCCGUAAACGAUGGAUACUAGGUGCUGUGCGACUCGACCCAUGCAGUGUUGUAGCUACACUAGUGCAGAACAGGGCAAUAGCACCGGUUCGUAAGGCCCUUUAGUGCCGGUUCCAUAACCGGCACUAAAGUGUGAGCACUAAAAGCCCCCCCCCCCUUAGUACCGGUUCA
Molecule: non-coding RNA, 662 nt
Filed under: Triticum aestivum (bread wheat)
Lineage: Eukaryota; Viridiplantae; Streptophyta; Magnoliopsida; Poales; Poaceae
Description: Bacterial small subunit ribosomal RNA
Rfam family: Bacterial small subunit ribosomal RNA
Source: Rfam by way of RNAcentral